This is a small nucleolar RNA of Cavia porcellus (domestic guinea pig), 130 nucleotides long. RefSeq annotates it as small nucleolar RNA SNORA44. The transcript has a single exon. NCBI's taxonomy places the organism in Eukaryota, Metazoa, Chordata, Mammalia, Rodentia, Caviidae. The record is from RefSeq and is a predicted model, not a curated record.
UCUCAUUCCAACCCAUGAAAAUAGUGUAAUGGUCAUGGGAUCUCCAACUGCAUGCGAGAGCAACCUGGAGAGACUUUGACAGCUCAGGUCAGCCCAAUACCUGUGGCUGCCACUCACCUUUCCUAUAAGG